GACGAACGCUGGCGGCGUGCUUAACACAUGCAAGUCGAACGAUGAAGGUCUUCGGACUGGAUUAGUGGCGAACGGGUGAGUAACACGUGGAUUAUCUGCCUUGCACUCUGGGAUAAGCCUGGGAAACUGGGUCUAAUACCGGAUAUUUACUGGAGGAAGCAUUUUCUUUGGUGGAAAGUUUUUUCGGUGCAAGAUGAGUCCGCGGCCUAUCAGUUUGUUGGUGAGGUAAUGGCUCACCAAGACGAUGACGGGUAGCCGGCCUGAGAGGGCGAACGGCCACACUGGGACUGAGAUACGGCCCAGACUCCUACGGGAGGCAGCAGUGGGGAAUAUUGCACAAUGGGCGAAAGCCUGAUGCAGCGACGCCGCGUGGGGGAUGAAGGUCUUCGGAUUGUAAACUCCUUUCGGCAGGGACGAAGCGAAAGUGACGGUACUGCAGAAGAAGCACCGGCCAACUACGUGCCAGCCGCCGCGGUAAAAC
Molecule: ribosomal RNA, 481 nt
Filed under: uncultured bacterium
Lineage: Bacteria
Description: bacterial SSU rRNA
Rfam family: Bacterial small subunit ribosomal RNA
Source: RNAcentral